AGAGUAUCGAAGAUGAGUACAGUGAAAAUGUUAUCCUUGCACUUUGAUUGUCAGUGAAGAAAACUCACGGGGAAUAUUCCAUAUUCUGAGAUCUGCUU
This 98-nucleotide small nucleolar RNA is filed under the name Erythranthe guttata (spotted monkey flower). RNAcentral's name for it is "Mimulus guttatus (spotted monkey flower) Small nucleolar RNA snoR26". It matches the Rfam family "Small nucleolar RNA snoR26". The record is from Rfam by way of RNAcentral. Lineage: Eukaryota; Viridiplantae; Streptophyta; Magnoliopsida; Lamiales; Phrymaceae.